Molecule: long non-coding RNA, 738 nt
Organism: Micropterus salmoides (largemouth bass)
Lineage: Eukaryota; Metazoa; Chordata; Actinopteri; Centrarchiformes; Centrarchidae
Exons: 2
Source: RefSeq, a predicted model, not a curated record
UCCAGGGUUCACUGUUGUGUACUUGGGAAGAGGAAGAAGAAGAGUUCUUCGAUCACUGUGUUCAUAUGCACAGAAGGCACCAGUGUCAACUGAGGGCAAGAAGAAGACUGCAAGAGAGUACAACCAAUUGUUCCUCAACACUGUCACAAUAUUACUUUACAUGCGCACAUGUGAGUGAGAGACUGGGUUAGGUGUUUGCCAUUACAUUUUCAGAAAAUGAAGAAAUCAGUAGUAGACAAACUUUCCUCCAGGGUUGCUUUACGUAGCCUGAUAAUAAGACUGAAUUGCCAUUUUGUUUCACUUCAUUGAUCCAACCUGACAUCAUCUUCAUGUUUGUCAGGUUCUUGCUGGGAAGGAAAAGCUGUUUUGUUUUGCCCUAAACCAAUCACUAGCAAGUGACAUAUACGUACCGUCGGAGUCAUGUUUAGUCAACACAAAAGCUGUUUUUUAGUUAUAUUUACAUCGAUCAAAGAUAUCUUUAGAGUUUUUUUCAUUAUUAGCUUUGAAAUUCAAUAUAUAAGGUGUCUUAAUUGAGUGUUGGGACAUAUGAAAAUCAGACCAGACCAUGAUUCAUUUCAUUAAGUGUGCUGGUUGUGAUGCUGUCAGUCUAACCACAACCAGCGCAACAAGGUUAACAGAAUGCAGUAUAACUCUUUUAUCUCACGUUAAGUACCUUUCUUACUCUCAAAAACUUCAGCCGUAUAGAACAUUGAAAUCAAGUAAAGGAUGUGAAACAUU